CUUUUUUCUCUCUUCCAGCAUUAGGACCAACAUCUGCUCACCAUGUUCUGGGCUCCCUUUGCUAGUUUGCUACUGUUGAUGUGGUGCAGAGGUUCAGACUCUCAGCUCACCUUGUCUCAGCCUCCCUCGGCCUCUGUGUCACUGGGAAACACAAUGAAACUCUCCUGCACCAUAAGCAGGAAUGACAGAACUGUGUACUGGUACCAGCAGAAGCCAGGGAAUGCUCCACGGUACCUCUUAUAUUAUAGCUCAGAUUCCAGCAAGGGCCAAGGCUCCGGGGUCCCCUCUCGUUUCUCGGGGUCCAAAGAUUCUUCCGGUAGCAUUGGCUACUUAACCAUUGCUGGAGCUCAGGCAGAAGACGAGGCUUACUAUUACUGUGCCGCAUGGUACAAUGCGUGUCACGGUGUGAUAUUUUGA
This is a non-coding RNA of Sceloporus undulatus (fence lizard), 417 nucleotides long. NCBI's taxonomy places the organism in Eukaryota, Metazoa, Chordata, Lepidosauria, Squamata, Phrynosomatidae. The record is from the annotation of a RefSeq genome assembly.